RNAcentral lists this unclassified non-coding RNA (360 nucleotides) under soil metagenome. Its description in RNAcentral is "partial contains 5.8S ribosomal RNA, internal transcribed spacer 2, and large subunit ribosomal RNA". The stretch from base 1 to 120 matches the Rfam family "5.8S ribosomal RNA", at positions 35 to 154 of the family's 154-position model. The record is from RNAcentral.
GAUGAAGAACGUAGUGAAAUGCGAUAAGUAGUGUGAAUUGCAGAAUUCAGUGAAUCAUCGAAUCUUUGAACGCACAUUGCGCCCGCCAGUAUUCUGGCGGGCAUGCCUGUCCGAGCGUCAUUUCAACCCUCGGGCCCCCCUCUGCGGGCGGCCCGGCGUUGGGGCUCAGGCGCCGUCUCUGCUCGGCGCCUGUCCCCUAAAUGCAGUGGCGGCCUCGCCGCUGCCUCCUCCGCGUAGUAGCACAAACCUCGCGGCUGGAAGGCGGCGCGGCCACGCCGUAAAACCCCCCAACUUUACCAAGGUUGACCUCGGAUCAGGUAGGAAUACCCGCUGAACUUAAGCAUAUCAAUAAGCGGAGGA